GGUUGAUCCUGCCAGUAGUCAUAUGCUUGUCUCAAAGAUUAAGCCAUGCAUGUCUAAGUAUUAACCAAUUUUAAUACGGUGAAACUGCGAACGGCUCAUUAAACCAGAAAUAAUCUACUUGAUUGUAAAAUAUCAUACUUGGAUAACUGUAGUAAUUCUAGAGCUAAUACAUGCAAAGAAAUAAGACUCUUACAGGGGAAUUAUUGUAUUUAUUAGAUACAAAAUCAAUCUACCAUUGAUGAUUCAUAAUAACUAAAUGAAGCGUAAAUGUAUUUUUACGCUGAUACAAAUG
Molecule: ribosomal RNA, 292 nt
Filed under: uncultured eukaryote
Lineage: Eukaryota
Description: partial 18S ribosomal RNA
Rfam family: Eukaryotic small subunit ribosomal RNA
Source: RNAcentral